UAGCCGUAAACGAUACUCGCUAGGUGUCGGCCACGGUGCGACCGUUGUCGGUGCCGUAGGGAAGCCGUGAAGCGAGCCACCUGGGAAGUACGGCCGCAAGGCUGAAACUUAAAGGAAUUGGCGGGGGAGCACCACAACGGGUGGAGCUUGCGGUUUAAUUGGACUCAACGCCGGGAAGCUCACCGGAUAAGACAGCGGAAUGAUUGCCGGGCUGAAGACCCUGCAUGACCAGCUGAGAGGAGGUGCAUGGCGUAGUCGUGU
Molecule: ribosomal RNA, 261 nt
Filed under: uncultured archaeon
Lineage: Archaea
Description: partial 16S ribosomal RNA
Rfam family: Archaeal small subunit ribosomal RNA
Source: RNAcentral